UACGGAGGGUCCAAGCGUUAUCCGGAUUUAUUGGGUUUAAAGGGUCCGCAGGCGGGAAAAUAAGUCAGUGGUGAAAUCCUAUCGCUUAACGAUAGAACUGCCAUUGAUACUGUUUUUCUUGAGUGUAAUUGAAGUGGGCGGAAUGUGUCAUGUAGCGGUGAAAUGCAUAGAUAUGACACAGAACACCGAUUGCGAAGGCAGCUCACUAAAUUAUUACUGACGCUCAGGGACGAAAGCGUGGGGAGCAAACAGG
RNAcentral lists this ribosomal RNA (253 nucleotides) under uncultured bacterium. RNAcentral describes it as "partial 16S ribosomal RNA". It matches the Rfam family "Bacterial small subunit ribosomal RNA", at positions 524 to 776 of the family's 1533-position model. The record is from RNAcentral.